This 253-nucleotide unclassified non-coding RNA is filed under the name uncultured Halomonadaceae bacterium. RNAcentral describes it as "contains 16S-23S intergenic spacer region". It matches the Rfam family "Bacterial small subunit ribosomal RNA", at positions 524 to 776 of the family's 1533-position model. Lineage: Bacteria; Pseudomonadati; Pseudomonadota; Gammaproteobacteria; Oceanospirillales; Halomonadaceae. The record is from RNAcentral.
UACGGAGGGUGCGAGCGUUAAUCGGAAUUACUGGGCGUAAAGCGCGCGUAGGUGGCUUGAUAAGCCGGUUGUGAAAGCCCCGGGCUCAACCUGGGAACGGCAUCCGGAACUGUCAGGCUAGAGUCCGGAAGAGGUAAGUGGAACUCCUAGUGUAGAGGUGGAAUUCGUAGAUAUUAGGAAGAACACCAGUGGCGAAGGCGGCUUACUGGUCCGGAACUGACGCUGAGGAGCGAAAGCAUGGGGAGCGAACAGG